Molecule: ribosomal RNA, 1473 nt
Filed under: Triticum aestivum (bread wheat)
Lineage: Eukaryota; Viridiplantae; Streptophyta; Magnoliopsida; Poales; Poaceae
Description: partial small subunit ribosomal RNA
Source: RNAcentral
AUGUCGCGCCUCCAUCCCCGCUACUUCUCCAGCUCCAUCUCCUCACUCGCCGACGAGCUGCUGAGCGAACUCCACCAUCAUCUGGGCUCAGGGACGCUCAGUCCGCAGCUCGCACACCAACUGUUCGACGAAAUGCUGCGCCAACCCGUCCCAGUAUCAUCGCGUGCACUCAAUGGCUUAUUUGCUGCCCUCGCGCGUACGCCACCCUCCACCACCUGCACAGAUAGCCCUGCCCUCGCCAUCAAUCUCUUCAACCGCAUGGCCCGAGCAGGUCGCGGCAGGGUGAUAGCACCCAGCAGUCACACCUACAGCAUACUAAUUGAAUGCUGCUGCCUCGCGCGCCGUCCGGACCUUGGGCCUUCCUUCUUCGCUCACCUCCUCAAGACAGGCGUCACGGCAGACGUCGUCAUCUUCAGUGGCUUAUUCAAGUGCCUCUGUGACAUGAAGCGGGCAGACGAGGCUCAGGACAUACUGCUCCAUAGGAUACCUGACGACCUGCAUGAUGCCAUCUCCUACUCAGUAAUUCUCAAGAGCUUCUGCAACAAUGGAUUGAGCCAGCGUGCGCUUGACCUGCUCCGGAUGAUGGCCAAAAAAGGUGCUGACCACUCCCCGGGUGUGUUUGCAUACAGCAUGGUAAUCCAUGGCUUCUUUAAAGAGGGUGAAGUAAGCAAAGCAUGCGAUCUAUUCCAUGAAAUGAUACAACAGGGGCCUGUGCCUAAUGUGGUGACGUACAACUCUGUUAUCGAUGCGCUAUGCAAAGCAAGAGCAAUGGACAAGGCAGAGGUGGUUCUUCGAUCAAUGGUUCAUAAUGGUGUCCAACCAAAUGUUGUGACAUAUAAUAGCUUGAUCCAAGGAUAUUCAACUGUGGGACAGUUGAAAGAAGUCGCUAGGUUGUUGAAAGUGAUGAGAAGCCAAGGUGUUAUGCCAAGUGUUGUUACCUACAACUCACUCAUGGGCUACCUUUGCAAGCAUGGAAGAAUCAAAGAAGCUGAGGAAAUAUUUUUUUCCAUGACCCUGAAUGGCCGAAAACCAGAUAUAGUCUCAUACUCUAUUAUGCUCCGUGGGUACGCUAUAGAAGGAUCCCUUGUUAAAAUGAUUGAUCUCUGUGAGCUGAUGGCAAGAGAUGGAGUUGUACCUGAACUCCAUUGUUUCAACAUACUGAUUAGUGCAUAUGCUAAGUAUGGAAUGAUGGAUGUGGCUAUGCUUUUCUUUGAAGACAUGUUGAAGCAGGGGCUGAACCCUGGUGAUUUCAUUUAUUUAACUGUGAUAUCUGCAUUUUGUAAGAUGGGCAGGAUGGAUGAUGCUCUGGAAAAAUUCAAUGAGAUGAUUGAUAGGGGGGUACCACUUGACACAAAAAUUUACAUGUGCAUGAUUGAGGGUUAUUUGAAUCGUGGUGAUUCUGUGAAAGCCGAGGAAUUUAUUACCAAAAUGAAGAGUAGGGAUAUUCGUCAUAGGCCGCGGAAGGGUAAUUGA